RNAcentral lists this ribosomal RNA (306 nucleotides) under Triticum aestivum (bread wheat). RNAcentral describes it as "partial small subunit ribosomal RNA". Lineage: Eukaryota; Viridiplantae; Streptophyta; Magnoliopsida; Poales; Poaceae. The record is from RNAcentral.
AUGGCUUCUUCCGGUUCCGUGACGAGGCCACCGUGUGCUAACCGCGAGGAUAUGCCGGACAACUGGACAGACGCCGAGUUGGAUAAGGUGAAGGACAAAGAUAUGAGAACUCCAACAUGUUGGUGUGGAGAUGUUUGCAAAGUUAAGGUAUCCACCGACCGCAAGAAAUCAUGGACGGAAGGAAGAAGAUAUUUUGUUUGUCCCAACUAUGCCUACGAUCGUCCUCGUCCAGCUCACGCCUAUGAUGUACCGCCGGUAAGUUGUUCAAGUUCAAACAUGUCAUCAACUGAUAACCAACAAGUAUAG